AUUUUAGUGGCAGAUUAGUGCGUUAGACUUAAGAUCUAAAUAAGAUAUUCGUAUCCUAAAAUA
Molecule: transfer RNA, 63 nt
Filed under: Platynereis sp. 2 PA-2020
Lineage: Eukaryota; Metazoa; Annelida; Polychaeta; Phyllodocida; Nereididae
Description: tRNA-Leu
Rfam family: tRNA
About the family: Transfer RNA (tRNA) molecules are approximately 80 nucleotides in length. Their secondary structure includes four short double-helical elements and three loops (D, anti-codon, and T loops). Further hydrogen bonds mediate the characteristic L-shaped molecular structure. tRNAs have two regions of fundamental functional importance: the anti-codon, which is responsible for specific mRNA codon recognition, and the 3' end, to which the tRNAs corresponding amino acid is attached (by aminoacyl-tRNA synthetases). tRNAs cope with the degeneracy of the genetic code in two manners: having more than one tRNA (with a specific anti-codon) for a particular amino acid; and 'wobble' base-pairing, i.e. permitting non-standard base-pairing at the 3rd anti-codon position.
Source: RNAcentral